AAUCACACUACGCAGCUGUGUAAUAAAAUAACUUAAGAAUGAGAGGUUCUAAAUAAUUAUAUGAUUGUGACUUAUAUCAGUUUUUGUUAUUCAGAACGAAAUAUAGGGAACAGCUGGUUUAUUAAUCAUCAUGCUCCUUUUCUUUUCUUGUCUGAGUAAGAGUAAAUAGCAGUGACCAAAUACUAUUACUGAAUUAAUAAAUAAAUUUACACUUCCACUUGAUUGUUGUCAAAUGCUAAUGGUUACAAAUUUGCAUGCAUAUAUGUCUAUGUUGGUGACAUGUGGCAGCAACCCACGUCAUGCAAAUUUCCACAGCAGUCUCAGAAAGAGCUCAGACUCUAAGCAAGACAUGAGUGAUAUGAAAAGAAGAAAGUAAGUUGAAAAUGCAAGGUAGAGAAAGGUGUUGUUGCAGACUGAGAAUGAGGUGAAGGAGAAGAGAGAAAGCAAUGUUACACAAGAGAAAAGAGUAGUGUGAGAGUUGAAUAUAUAGAUGAGUGAAGGUUGGCCUGAACGGUGGAGUGAUUAAGUGAAGCAAGAAGUGGGG
Molecule: small RNA, 544 nt
Filed under: Vigna angularis var. angularis
Lineage: Eukaryota; Viridiplantae; Streptophyta; Magnoliopsida; Fabales; Fabaceae
Description: Non-protein coding transcript
Source: RNAcentral